Long non-coding RNA from Mercenaria mercenaria, 3934 nucleotides. RefSeq lists it as uncharacterized. The transcript is spliced from 12 exons. The record is from RefSeq and is a predicted model, not a curated record. NCBI's taxonomy places the organism in Eukaryota, Metazoa, Mollusca, Bivalvia, Venerida, Veneridae.
CGUCAUAAUUUCAAAAUGGCUGACAUUCGCUGGCUGCUGCUCUACGUCAACUUUUAAGCAUGUUUACAUGUAAAUAAGGGUAUGGCAGCAACUAAUAAUGAAUUGUAAAACUAUUUACGGAUAAGUGCUAUCGAUUUAACGUAAUAAUAGAACUUUUAUGAAGUUAUUUAUGAAGCAAUCAGCCUUCGAUGUUCGUACAUAGAACUUUCGUACCUAGUGUCAGGCAAGAUAAAAAAUUACAACAAGGAACAAUUUCAACAAAUGUCUGGAUACCACAAUAUGAUUGUAACAUUUGAAUUGAAGUCAGACACCUUACUGUACCACCAUGCAACUGUAUCAUCUAUCUUCCGUAACCGCCGAACCCCUUUCGGUGACGUAGACGUUGUUCGUCAGUAUAUAGAUAAUUUUAGUGAUAGAGCAGCCCUUUUUUAUGGUUUGGCAGAUUCCCUAGAGAGCUGCAUUGGGAAGUAACAGUAAAGCAGAAUACCUACAGUCCAUGAAGUUGAGAAAUGAAGAAAUGCAGCUCUGAAUGGUUUAAUACGGUGUGUGGGGAAAACAUUGUGGAUAUGAAGCAUAGAAAUCAUGUGUCAAUUUGAAGUAACAGUAACACAGAAUGGCUAGAGACCAUAACUUGAGAACUGAAGAGAUGCAGGUCAUUGUUCUAUAUGGUGAUUGAUGGAACUAUGGUGCAGUUUUGAAUUGAUAAGGUAGAUCAUUGAUACAUGUUUCCAUGUAACCAUUAGAGGUACUGGCAAGCAACCUGUGUGAAAAAAGCUUCGGACCAAGGGAACUAACUUUUGCCGCACCUGGUGUGAAGUUACAGAAAAGCAGAAUAGCUACAGACCAUGAAAUUUAGAAAAUGAAAAGAUGCAUGUCUCAGUUCAGCAUGGUGUAUAUGGGAAACAUUGUGUAUGGCAGACCUCUGUUCAACAUGGUGUAUAUGGGAAACAUUGUGGGUCACAGACCUCUGUUCAACAUUGUGUAUAUGGGUGGGUCGCGGACAUGAAAUGAUUUGUGUGAAGUAACAGUAAAGCAGAAUGGCUACAGACAAUUAGUUCAGAAUUGAAGAAGAGAUGCAGGUCUUUGUUCUAUAUGGUGUAUGAGGGAACCAUGGUGGAAAUUUGGAUUUCAUGGCAGUCAUAGAAAUAUCUAAUAAGUCUGUUCUACAGUGAUGUGUGUACCAGUCUGUCAGACUUUUACCUGUCUGUCCAGUCGACAAAUUCGCAAUAGAUGCGUAGAUUCUCAAACAAUUUGGCAGAGUUUUCACAGUUACUACGACAGAUUGCAAAAAAUGUUUGUACCCAAAACCCUGAAAUGAGAGCGCUUGAACAAUGUGAAGUUUGUCGCAUAGAAGGGGAUUGACCGCCUUUGUGUAUAUAAGUCUACAACUUCUCAGAUUUGACUGAAGACAAUUGUUUGGUGUUGUGAAUAUAGAAAUAUAUGAGGUAGGGCAGUUUUCCAUAAACACAACAAGAAGUUCACAUUUGUUGCACAGAUUUGUGUCUCUCAUGUGUGGAGUUGAAGGAAUUGUUAUAGGAAAAGUCUACAGAAUAUGUAAGGAUAUGAUAGCCAAACAUCUUCCCCAAGAUUCCAUGCAGCAACCUUCUGAUAGAAAGAUGUACCUGUCGUGCAAAGGUAUAAGCUGGCUUGGUAACAGGAAAAAGAAAAGGAAAAUGGCCCCAGGAAAGACAAGAUACAGCAGAUACAAGUUGCUAAGGACAAGAAUGUCUGUUAUUCAUGGAAACAUCAGAGUUCAGCAGGUUCUUGAAACAGGCCAUUUGAAACCAGAGACUACCGGUACAUUUUUGGUGAUCAUUUGACCAAGCCAGUUGUGUUUUAACAUGAGACAGGAAAAGUACAUGUAUAUACUCUGCACCAUGGUUACAGAUUUGCAGUAUCAACCAGCAUCCACAGCCAUUCUAAAUAUAGGACCAACACAAUCAGACAAGCUGGCAAGAUGUUCAAGAGUGGUAACAUGCUGCCCAAGAUUCUAGUCUGGAGAUACCAUCAGUCAUCUUAGAAUGUUUUUUUAAGAUUUAAGAAAAAUGUGACAUUGACUUAAGACUACAUUUUUACUGUUUUCAGCCAAAGGCUUUCUCUGUUUUUUUUUUGUUUUUUUUGUUUUUUGUUUUUUUUUUUAACAUUAAUAAUAUCUGUCAUGUGUUUAAGAAUCGGUUAUAAAUAUCCCUCCAGAGGGCACCUGCGCAUUGGGUGGUAAUGAGGCUUGCCGAAUUACCGCUCAUGCGCAGGUGGCCGAGGGACAGAUAUAUCCAUCUGAUUUGUAAAGACAUGACUGAUAUUUUUUCUUGCAUAUCGAAUACAUGCUACCAUUUUAAUCGGCAGAAUUUCUUGCAAAUUGUAUUUUACAGAUAAGAGCUAGAAAUACUUUCUUUAUAGCACUCUUUCUUACAGUAGAGAAUGAACACAAAGCGCAGGAAAUUAACAUCCGUAAGCAGAAGUGACGUCAUGAUGUUUUGCGUUACGCACAAUAACAAUGUUCCACUUUAGUUUAAUUGUUUGUAACGUAACGUUAUGUUCUUACGGUAAACUAAUGUAUUUUGAAUCGAGGAAUAUACUAUAAGGAACUGAGAGAAACUAUCGAGGUUACUGCUUUUUUUUGUAUUUUACAUAAUAUAUUAUCAGUGCUUGAACCACUACACUAGUUGGUUUAAACUGUAUUUAUUUCCACAAAUUGUAUACACAGACAUGAGUACUAUAUUCAAAUUAACAAAGUUUGAUAAAAAGACAUACAUCAAUCAAAAAAGUACAAACAAAGAAAUUUUUAAUCGAAUGGAUUGGAAAACAAGCUACUUUCAUUCGAUUAAAAAUUUCUUUGUUUGUUUGUACUAUUUUGAUACUACACUAGUUGUCAUUAACAGCACGAGAGUCAUCUGGCAUGGGGGGGUGGGGGGGGGGGUGCCAGAUGGGUUUUGCCGGCAUGGGUAAAAUCACCGGAAACGCCAGUCCGAUGUGCAAGAAAUUAUCUGGAAAAUAACUGUAUUGAGACAAGUUUGUAUGUCAAAAUAAAACAAUAAAAAAUAUUUUUAUGUUAUAAAUAUUUUUUUCUAACUUAUGAAGUGACUUUAUCAUGUCUCUAAGAUACGCAAGAUUACAGUGAUUGUUUUUUAGCUCAACAGAGCACAAAGUGCUCAAGGUGAGCUAUUGUGACUGGUUAUUGUCCAUCUUGUGUCGUUUGUCAACAUUUGCCUUGUUAACAGAUAAGCUUUUGGUACAAUUGGGUAUUUACCCAUCACUUUUUGCCUGAAUUGGGUAUUGGAAAUCUGAAUUGGGUAAAAAGAAAUUUAAAUCAUUACCUAGCCUUUUCAGAAGUGACUGGGUAUUUGCUAAAACGAAUUGGGUAUUUCACCAAUCUCACAUACAACAUCCGAGUAUUUUUUGCUUACAAUAUACAUGGUAUAAUUACUGAUCUACCUUCUUUAUACUGUCUCUUUAAAAAUAUAUUUAGUAAUACAUGCCUGUUAUGAAGGUAAAUAUGACUUUGUGUAUCUUAAGUAAUAGUGCUAAAGAUAUUUCUUUUCUCCAAUCAUUUAAUGUAUUCUGAGAUACUUUUGUUUGAUACUGUUUUCUUUUUCACUUUUAUGCAGUUAGAGAUCAAUUUAUCAAUAUCCCAAGUGAAUGGUACUGCCAUUUUUCCGAUAAACUGCGACCUGUUUUUUGGUAACGUAUAACCAGUCAUUUGUCUAGCAUUAGUAAGGUUAUAACACACUCAAUAGUUGUUCUUCUUUAUUCUGUAUAAAAAUGACCUAUUUCCAAUGACCGCAGCACACAUCAGGACCCAUUUUAAAUGUCUGUAACUUACAUUGUCUUAGAGAAUAUUGUCAGUGCUAAAUAAAAAUCAGUAGAAAAGUGGGGGUCAUGUUUGAUGCAAGAAAAAUAUUUUCAGUCAAAUACACAAACUGCAAAAUCAGCUAAA